This 1031-nucleotide long non-coding RNA is filed under the name Sinocyclocheilus grahami. Its description in RNAcentral is "lncRNA (ENSSGRG00000047516.1)". Lineage: Eukaryota; Metazoa; Chordata; Actinopteri; Cypriniformes; Cyprinidae. The record is from RNAcentral.
GCAGGACCUCUGGGGAAUAAAGCUGCUCUCUUUUUCCCACAUCCCACCGUGCUCUGGGGCGCCUUUUUGUUUACACUGCCCUCACAAUGAGUGCUAUAGUGCCCGCCGAAUGAGCUUGUAUGGGAGUGUUCUGGGCCUGAAUGUACAGCCAGCCACCGGCCCUGCUCUGAAUAAGCCCCUUUGAAUAUUGCCAAGACCCCCGCUUGCAUUGUUCCGCAUUAUUCCCCGUACAAUAGAUAUCACACUUUGGAAGUAAUUUUUUUAAAAAAGGGAUGGGUGAAUCAAAAUAGUGGUAGCUUUUAGCUUUUGUUUUCUCUCUCUCUCUCUCUCUUCUUUCACUCGUCUAGCUCUCUUUCUUUCUUUUUUUCUUUUGCUUCGCGCCCGCCCUGCAUUCUCUCUUCUCUCUCGCCGGUUUUUCCCCAGCCGCUCAUUCAGAGUUCUCCAUUAUAGCGGCAAAUUAAAUAAACCACUCCAUUGCCUAAAGAGGCUGGGGCCCGGACUGAACCAGCCUAGUUUGCGUGGACCAGGGGAGCGAGGCAGGCGUGCACGCUGGGAGAGAGCGCACCUCGCUGGGCUUUAGUCCACCGCACUCGUGGUUCUUCAGGCUGAAACGGUUUGAGACGAAGCGGAGGAUGAGGAGUGGAUGGGGGGGAGCGAAGGGUCCCCACCCACCCCUCUGUCUCCAGUGGAGAUGGGGAGAAGGACAAAGGAGCUCUCUCCUUCCUCCGGCCCCCCUCCUCAAAAGGGCAGCAGGUGUAGAAGCAACAGGUGCAAGUGGAGCUUAGAAGUGACCCUUUACACACAACCUUAAUUUUUAGGAGCAACUGCUUAUGAAUUAUGAAUAACUGUUUGCUUUCUGAUGUCAUGUAACUUGAGCUGUACAGAGAUAUCAUGUGGUUUUAGUUGUGGCUGUACUCUCUUAAAAAUAAAAGUUCCCCAAACGGGGUUUUCACAGUGAUGCCACUGAAAAAACAUUUUUGGUUCCCUUUCAGUGAAGAUUAAAAAAAACUUUUACUAUAGACUUUCAGAAA